RNAcentral lists this ribosomal RNA (166 nucleotides) under uncultured bacterium. RNAcentral's name for it is "partial 16S rRNA". It matches the Rfam family "Bacterial small subunit ribosomal RNA", at positions 355 to 511 of the family's 1533-position model. The record is from RNAcentral.
UAGGGAAUCUUCCACAAAUGGGACGCAGGUCUGAUGGAGCAACGCCGCGUGAGUGAAGAAGGUCUUCGGAUCGUAAAACUCUGUUGUUAGAGAAGAACACGAGUGAGAGUAACUGUUCAUUCGAUGACGGUAUCUAACCAGCAAGUCACGGCUAACUACGUGCUAG